GUGGGGAAUCUUAGACAAUGGGCGCAAGCCUGAUCUAGCCAUGCCGCGUGAGUGAUGAAGGCCCUAGGGUUGUAAAGCUCUUUCAGCUGGGAAGAUAAUGACGGUACCAGCAGAAGAAGCCCCGGCUAACUCCGUGCCAGCAGCCGCGGUAAUACGGAGGGGGCUAGCGUUGUUCGGAAUUACUGGGCGUAAAGCGCGCGUAGGCGGACUGAAAAGUUGGGGGUGAAAUCCCGGGGCUCAACCUCGGAACUGCCUUCAAAACUAUCAGUCUGGAGUUCGAGAGAGGUGAGUGGAAUUCCGAGUGUAGAGGUGAAAUUCGUAGAUAUUCGGAGGAACACCAGUGGCGAAGGCGACUCACUGGCUCGAUACUGACGCUGAGGUGCGAAAGCGUGGGGAGCAAACAGGAUUAGAAACCCUUGUAGUCC
This 425-nucleotide ribosomal RNA is filed under the name uncultured bacterium. RNAcentral describes it as "partial 16S ribosomal RNA". It matches the Rfam family "Bacterial small subunit ribosomal RNA", at positions 354 to 796 of the family's 1533-position model. The record is from RNAcentral.